GCUGAGGGUUAUUUCAGUGCAGUCAGGCCGGCCUGGCUGCCGGCAUAAAUGUGAAACUAACUGGUGCAGCUGAGCCGGUGGUGGGUAUGUGAACGUGCUCGAUGCUGUGCCUCAUUGUGCUUUCUUCUAAGCCUGUAAAAGAAUCUGAUAGCUUAAAUGGGGACUUGAGCUUGAUAAAAGUCUCCAUGCUUCUAGGAAAAAUCUGUGCCACCAAGCCCUGCUGUAACACAAUGCAGUAAGUGUGCUAACUCGGGGUUUAGGCCUUGCCUCUGGUGCUGGGCUGUUUUCCUGUUUAGGAACCUCAGACUUCCAGCUGCAGUUGAGAAAUAGCUACAACUUCAAGCCUCUGCAUACUCAAAGAUCACAAGCUGGAGCCAGUUUUUUUGCUUGCUUUACUUCCCUGGUGGUCAAGCUGACCAGUUCUGAAGGUAAGGUUGGCAAGUGGCUCUGUGUUAACUCCUUCCUCAUAUGUCUUGGGAAUGCACCCAUCAGGAAAAAUUCCCUGGCGCUCCCUGAAGACCUCGGAACACAUCUAUUCUUGAGCAAAGAACACGCCUUAAAUCUAUGGACUGAGUGAACAAAGAUUGCAUGAAAACACAAAAAGCAAGCUCUAUCUUUAAUGAUAAAAAAAAAAAAGUUUAAAAAUUAUGAAUUCUGUAAAGAGAGAAACAAAUAUGCCCAGAAUACCCAGAGACUUCAGUCAAUGAUCAGUUAACUGGAAAUAAUGGCUAAAUUUCAGGAAAUGUGAAAUAUGAUUCGAUUUGUUUAUGCCUCAGGUGUGACACUUACAUCUUUUAAUCAUUACCUGCAAGCUUUGCAAAUAUUUUAAGACUCAACCUGUCCUUUCUGCAUGCAGACCUCCAGAUCCUCAGCUGCUACAAGAUUUGUAACUCAAGAAUGUCUGUAAUGAAGCAACUUACAUACAAUAUAUAGUUUUAUUUUCAUGUCCACUUUUUGGUACCAUUUUUGGUAUUUUGAGACACUGGUCUGAAAGCCUCCCCAGGGACCAGCCAUCUCCAGCUGGUGGCAGAGCAGUUUGAAUGCUUGGCCACAAGCUGGGGACAAGGACAGCUUGGGCUGCAGCUCCCUGGAGGCUGGGGCAGCAUCUGACAGAGUUAUUCCUGUGUAUUAUUCCUGUG
RNAcentral lists this long non-coding RNA (1139 nucleotides) under Junco hyemalis (dark-eyed junco). Its description in RNAcentral is "lncRNA (ENSJHYG00000005331.1)". The record is from RNAcentral. Lineage: Eukaryota; Metazoa; Chordata; Aves; Passeriformes; Passerellidae.